CCUUUUCAUUUUCAUUUAAAUGUUUCUUUUAAUCAGGACCAUCGAUCAAUAUUUGAUCAACGGCCCAAAUUAAAUCUCCCACCUUUAAUUCCAUCAAAUCCCCAAAACAUAGAAACCUUAGAGCCCUAAUAGACUCACCUCUCCCAUCGCCGCCUGCUCCCAUCUUCUCCUCUCUUCUUUUUCCUCCUUCCCCAUGCCAAAGGAUACCAUGGCAGACGAAGCCCAUAUCCCUCUCGUCCUUUCCUCACUAUUCACAACGUCACCAUGGUACUCGAAGCCAUGGAAAAGCUUCCACUCCGCCGAAUCCUCAACGAUUUCGAAUCUAGGGAAUCAAAGUUGAAAUCGAUUCAAACACUCAUGGACCCAUUUCGUUGCUCAAAAUCAGGUAAACUCGCUUCCCUUUUCUCUUUUGCUUUUUAAUGUUUUUAGCCUGAAAAUGUUACUCAUUGUCGUUAUGUUACUCAUUGUCGUUCUUAUUUUAUCAUUUUAUACGGUUGAAAUCCCCACUGUAAUAUGUGUUAUUCGUUGAGACGGUUGAAAUCCCGACUGAAAUAUAUAUUAUUUUCUGAUUUAGUUAGCCCUGAUCGAAGAAUGUGAUUUGCUUUUUUCUGUUAUUGUAUAUUCUGUCACUCUAUGUUAGUUUAGUUGGUUUUAUUUUCGAGAUUGAAGGAGGGGCAUAUUAAUUUCAGUUUGGGUCUUAGUUUAGAUUUAGUCACUUUCUUUUGUUUAUUCUGAUUUGCUUCAUUUCGGAUGGAUAAUAAUUAAGAAUUUAGAAAGUUUUCUGAGUUGAAUAUGCUACGGUUCUAUUUUGUUAAGUUUCUGUCUGGGGGAUGAUCACGUCUUCGUUUUAGUUGUAAGUUUCGUAAAGUUUGCGAUUAUGAUUUUUGGGCCAAGAAUGGGCUGCUUUUCUUCAGUUUUUCUCUUUAGAUCAACUUCGAAAUUUAUUCGUUUUCUCGUUAAAAAAUCUAUCCAGAUUUACUUCAACUUGUUUAAGUUUAAUUAGAAUCCAAAUUUUCCUACUGGUUUAGUUUGUUAAAUAUAUAUAUGUGUGUUUGGUUGAGGUCAUAACUUGUUUUAGUUCAGGUCAUAACUUGUUUAAGGUUUUUAAGAAAUGUUCAUGGACAGUAUGAACAAUCACAAGCUUCAGUUUGUCUAAAGUGGCUUACUUUCAAUGGGUUUCCAAGGCGGGUUUUAAAAUAGUCGACUUUAGUUCAGUUUUUGAUUAAUUAGUCGUUUCCCUCUCACCUCUCAUUAGUAGAGUUUAAAUGUUUGGAGAUUAUGAAAAUCAACGAGUACAGUAGUUUACGUUUGAAGAUCUAGUUUAAAGCUAGGUUCGAGAUUCGCUUAAGUUUGAGUCUAAAAUUUAGUUCUAGAUUAAGCGUUGAUGUAUUGGUAGCGUAGUUUUCUCUCGUCUUUUCCUUUUACUAUUAAGUCCAAGUCCGUUCGCUCUUUACUUGUUUGUUUAUGAGUCCUUGUCCCUAUUUUAGGUACUUACUUCGUUAAAAAACAUAGAGUAAGAAUUCCAUUCUAGACUAGUUCAUUUUUUUUCUUUCUCUAAGAAAAAUUUAAGAUGUUCGCCCUAUUUCUUACCAUUAACUUGAAUACCUUCAGGAGUAGCUAACCACUUGUAAAUGUUUCUUGUUCUUGAAUUGGUUUUGAUAUCCUUUAUUUCCUUUAGCAUAGAAAAUAUCUUGGCUGUGAAUUGUCACUCAAAAUGGACUAAGAAUAUAGCUAAUACCUGGUUGUAUGUUUUUCCCAAAAUGAUGAGGAAACAGUUCAUUUUCUUAUCCUUUUUUUUGUUCUACUUGUUUAAGGAUUCUGGAAAUUACAUGUUCAAUUUGUUAAUGGAAAUCUUCUUUAUAAAAGUUGGGUUUAUGAAAAUGAGUUGGCAUGAUUAUUUAAAAAAAAAAAAAAAAAACAAGUCAUUUGCCAAAAAAACUAACUACCAUAACAAAGUUUGGUUUAAGCUUCUUGUCUGAUAUUUUUAUAACAUGGAUACGUACCUACUGAUCUAUGAACUUAGUAGCAAUACUAAAAUCCUACAGUGUUUAAGAUGUUAAAUUUCCACCCAGUUUUUGUUCUCCUCACUCGAGACUAGUUCACUGUUUGCAAUUAAGUGUUUGAUUUUUUUUUAUUUUUUAUUUUUUAAAAAAACUUUGAUUUUAUCCUUUCCUUUACUCUUGCUGAUCUCUUGUUAUUGUAUCUGCAUGAUAUACAUAUGGAGUUCGAUUGACCGCCUCCUAUUCUAAGUUGGGCUAAAAUCCCAACACAAAAUCCUUGCGUAUUUUCAUCGAGUCCGAACAGCAGCAACAAUUAACGUAAAACUUUGGUCUAUCCAAAAGCCAAGUGAGGUAGAGAAGCAGCAGCGGCAGCAUGAUGAAAGAAAUUGCAAAUCUCGGGCUGAAGUUUGAAGAGGACCUAGGUCAGGGCUUUAUUUUAGACUCUCGGAUUAAGCCCGAGUCUUAGAAUGAUUUUUAUCGGGAUUGAGGCCCAAUUCUCUACUCUCUUUAAAGAUUUCUGCAUUUACUUACCCUUUUGGUGUAAACACUUUGAAAACUAAAUAAAGCCCCAGAAGGCAUCUAAAAUA
Molecule: long non-coding RNA, 2587 nt
Organism: Lycium ferocissimum
Lineage: Eukaryota; Viridiplantae; Streptophyta; Magnoliopsida; Solanales; Solanaceae
Exons: 2
Source: RefSeq, a predicted model, not a curated record